Molecule: long non-coding RNA, 7423 nt
Filed under: Marmota monax (woodchuck)
Lineage: Eukaryota; Metazoa; Chordata; Mammalia; Rodentia; Sciuridae
Rfam family: tRNA (bases 6773-6829)
Source: RNAcentral
UGGAUUCCCUGCACAGGAACUAUAUUUUUUGUUGUUACCGUAUUUUUUUUCCCUUGUAGCUCCAGAUACCAGACAAGGUGCUAUACAUCCUGGUCUGGCAGGACUUGGUCCGAAACCCUCCCUCCUGGCUUGUUCCUUUUUUGCAGAGAAAUUCUUCAAAGAUCCUGGCGCUUAAGGAAGACACAGGCCGUGGCGGCCAGCGCCCCCAACCUGUCCUCCUGCCCCCGAACCCCUUUACCCAGCUCUGCAGAGCGGCAUGGACGAGGAACUCCUGUCUCCGCCACCGUCCCAGCCCCCUCCCACUAACACCCAGUAACAACCCUUUUCCCAUUCCUACCCCUGCCCCUGACAGUGGUGUAGGUGCAGUGGACUCAUGCCCCGAGCGCCACCAAAAGGCUCCACAGUCUCUCCUCUCGGGUGGCAGGACCCUGGACGAGGCGGGAUUCAGCCCCUUCACUGGCGGCCGUUGGCCACUAGUGAUUUGAAUAACUGGAGAAAGCAGAAUGCUAAGUUCUCGGAAACCCAUCAGACCGACCCUCCUGGACAGCGCUGUCUACCCGCAGCCCGCCUGGGACGACCGUGGACAGUGGCUGCGCACCCUCCGCGACCAGGAGAGGGAGCGCAGCCAGACAGACGGAGGGAGGUCGGAGACCCUGGGGAUGGCGGCGGCGGCGGCCCAGACCGAUCCAGAUAUAAUGAACAGCGCCUUUCCUCUGAGCCGCCCAGACAGGACCAUGGGACUGCAUACGGCUGAAGGCAGGCACCUUGGAACCUACCCAUUUGGCCCGGGUAUACAGAGUUCAUCAGGGUUAGGAGGAAUCUCCAGGCGGCUGUUUAGAGAGGUUACUGGAGGCCUUUAGACAGUCCACCCCCAGAAACAGGAAAACCGGCGGCAGUAGUGAUGCCUUUGUAAAGCAGUGAGCGCCAGACAUUAGAAGAAAGUUACAGAAGCUGGACGAUUUGGAAGGGGAAACCAGGACUUGCUGGCCACAGCCCAGAAAGUGUACAACAAGCGGGACUGGCCAGAGGACAGACAAGUGAAGGCGACCGGGGAGAUGACCAAGUCCUGGUAACAGCAAUAAGCGGCAGCGACACCCUCCCCCCACCAGAGGACCGCCAGAGGGUAAGAGGAGCCCUGCGGGAGGAAGGCAGGAUCUGCAAAAGAAUCAGAGUGUCUAUUGCAAGGGAAUAGGGCACUGGCUCAAGGACUGUCCCAAGGGGUGGGGUUGUGGCUCAGUGGUAGAACACUUGCCUUGCAUGUGUGAGGCACUGGGUUCAAUCCUCAGCACCACAUAAAAAUAAAGGGAAAAAAAAAGGUAUUGUGUUAUUAAAAAAAAAAAAGACUGUCCCAAAAGGUCUAGGGGCCAAGGAGAGGGGAGGUGCCUUUGCCCUAUUCUAAGCAUGAACAACCCAGAUAGUGACUAGGAGAGUUGGGGUUCGGCUCCCCUCCUCGAACCCAGGGUGACUCUUAAGGUGGAGGGGACUCUGAUAGACUUUCUGGUUGGUGGACGCUGGAGCUCAGCAUUCCGUCCUGUUGAAACUCCAAGGAAAGUUACCAGGAAAGACAUCCUGGGUACAGGGAGCUACUGGAAUGAGCCAAAUUCAUGGACUACCCGAAGGACAGUGGACCUAGGCAUGGGCGGGGUAUCCCACUGGUUCAUGGUGAUCCCAGAAUGCCCCUACCCCUUGUUGGGAAUAGACUUACUUACCAAAAAGCCCCAUCCAGGUAUUAACUCUUGCCCUGGAGGAUGAAUACUGGCUUCACCAGCAGCUGGUACCCAUUAAUGAAAACAUACAUUACUGGCUGCAAUCCUACCCUGAGGCUUGGGCAGGGUGGGGGGCUGGCAAAGCACAGGCCUGCAAUCUUCAUCGAGUUAGAACCUGGCGCAGACCAGUCAGGGUUUGACAUUACCCAGUGUCCAUGGAAGCCGGAGUGGGGAUAACAUCCCUCAUCCGGUGUCUGUUGGAAUUGGGGGUGCUGAAACCCUGGCAGUCGGCCUGGAACACUCCUUUGCUGCCAGUCCACAAGCCCCAGUCAGAUGACUGUCAGACAGUACAAGACCUGAAGGAAUUAAACAAGAGGGUGAUGGACAUCCACCCAACUGUCCCCAACCCAUACACCCUCCUGAAUGCACUUCCACCAGAACGGCAGUGGUACACUGUCCUGGACUUGAAGGAUGCUUUUUUCAGCCUGCCCUGGCACCCAAAAGCCAGAAAUUGUUUGCCUUUGAGUGGACAGAGGUUGAGAAAGGCAUCAGUGGACAACUAAUCUGGACCAGACUCCCCCAAGGAUUCAAAGACUCUCCAACCAUCUUCGAUGAGGCGCUGCAUGAGGACUUGGUGAGUUCAGAACAGAACACCCUGACUUAACCCUUUUGCAGUAUGUUGAUGACUUGCUGAUUGCCACCAAGACCAGAGAGGAAUGCAUGCCGGGACUAAGGCCUUACUCAGAGCCUGGGAGGCGUGGGUUAUCUUGCUUCAGCUAAAAAAGGCCCAAAUCUGGAAGCCAGAGGUAACUUACCUGGGCUACUUGACAAAGGAAGGACAAUGGUGGCUCACGCAAGCUAGAAAAGAGACUGUGCUAAGAAUUCCGAGGCCCCAGACCCCGCGUCAGGUGAGGGAAUUCCUGGGGUCAGCAGGUUUCUAUAGAUCGUGGGUCCCUAGCUUUGCUGAGCUUGCAAAGCCCCUCUAUGAAGCCACUAAGGAAGGGCAACAGUUUCAGUGGACUGAGAAAAUGGAUCAGUCUUUUAACCAAAUUAAGACUGCCUUGCUGUCAGCCCCUGCCCUUGGACUCCCUGAUGUCACUAAGCCCUUUCACCUGUACAUUGCGGAGCACAAGGGAGUUGCCAAGGGAGUCCUGACCCAGUAUCUGGGCCCAUGGAAGAGGCCAGUGGUGUAACUGUCGAAGAGGCUAGAUCCUGUGGGGGCCGGAUGGCCACCUUGUCUGAGGAUGAUUGCAGCCACCUCCCUGAUGGUGAAAGAUGCAGAUAAGCUGACAUGGGACAAGAACUGUACAUCCCCACACCCCACACAGUUCAAGGGGUGCUGAGGCAAUCACUGGAUCGAUGGCUCAGCAACAUCAGACUUCCUCCCUUCCAGGGUUUGCUACUUGACCCUUUCAGAAUCAAUUUCCAGACACCCUCAGCACUCAACCCCUCGACCCUGCUACUGGACCCAGACUUGGAGACACCUCUGCAUGAUUGCGCAGGAAUUUUGGCUCAGGCUCACGGCAUUCAGCAUUUGAGAGGACCUUAAGGAUCAGCCUUUACCUGAUGCUGACCUCUUGUUGUCCAGGUGAUAAGCCUGGAGCUUAUUGACCUCUGUGGUUCACGGAUGGAAGCAGCUUUUUCUGAGCUGGUCAGUGCAGCGGUAGUGACUGAGACCCAGGUGAUCUGGGCUCAGCCUGUACUAGCUGGGACUUCCACCCAGAGAGCCCAGUUAGUGACACUGACCUAAGCAUUAACGCUGGGUAAGGACAAGAAGCUGACUGUGUACACUGACAGUCGCUCUGCUUUUGCCACUGCCCACAUACAUGGAGCCAUCUGUAAGGAAAGGGGGAUCCUGACCGCAGAAGGGAAGGCUAUUAAAAACAAAGAAGAAAUAUUAGCCCUAAUUAUUGCCCUGUGGCUGCCAAAGAAAUUAGCCAUUGUCCACUGUCCAGGGCAUCAGAAUCUCAAAGACCCUGUAGCCAGAGGUAAAAACCUGGCUGACAAGACGGCCUGGGAAGUUGCCCUUCGCAGGGAUCCUGUCUUAGUAACCAACCUUCCAGACCCAGGACCCAGACAGCUACCAGACCUUCUCCAAUAUACUAAAGAAGACCUGGACUGGAUUCAUAAAUUACCCAAGAAUGGUACCGGGUGGCGGAAGACCAAGUCACACUACCUGAAAGAAUGGGAGAACAGCUAUUGCUAAAAAUGCACCAGACCACUCACAUGGGCACUAAAAGAUGCAAGACCUGGUAAGACACACCAAAAUAAAGAUUAAAGAUGCACAUUCUAAGAUUGAUCAGAUUGUAGCUAGUUGCAAAGCCUGCCAGCUGAGAAAUGCAACCCAGCGUGAGGUCAACUCAGGAUCACGACAGAGAGGUGAUGAGCCUGGAGCUUAUUGGGAAGUGGAUUUCACUGAGGUAAAACCAGGAAAAUAUGGUUAUAAAUAUCUGUUAGUUUUUAUAGAUACUUUUUCAGGAUGGGUUGAAGCAUUUCCCACCAAGCAUGAGACAGCACUGAUGGUGGCAAAGAAGCUACUAGAAGACAUGCUGCCCAGGUAUGGCCUCCCGGUAAUGAGAGAGUCAGACAAUGGACCAGCUUUCAUUUCCAAGGUAAUUCAGAGCUUGGCUAAUGUUUUGGGGACCAACUGGAAACUACAUUGUUCAUAUAGACCCUAAAGUUCAGGACAUGUAGAGAGGAUGAAUAGCCUCUAAAAGAGACCCUAACUAAAUUGUCCAUGGAGACUGGCAGUGACUGGGUGGCUCUCCUUCCCUAUGCCCUGUGUAGAGUGCAGAACUCUCCGUACAAAAUAGGACUUCCCCCUUUUGGAAUAGCGCCCCCUUUGAUUCCCAAUUUACAGUCUGACUGACUUGCUGAAUUUGAGGAUUACCAGCUUUUGCAAUCCCUCAGGGCCCUGCAGCAGGCCCACCAAGAUGUGUGGCCACAGCUGAAGGCCCUCUAUGAGACUGGACCACCUCUGGAACCUCACCGCUUCAGGCCAGGAGCCUGGGUGUUCCUUGAGAAUUGAUCAUGUCUAUGGCAGUGCCUAACAUUAAGGAUUGUCAUUUUCUUGAUCAAGAACCUAAGAACGGGGGCUGAGGGUGUGGCUCAGCGGUAGAGCACUCGCCUUGUACAUGCGAGACCCUGGGUUUGAUCCUCAGCACCACAUAAAAAUAUAUGAAUAAAAUAAAGGUAUUGUGUCCAACUACAACUAAAAAAUAAAUAUUAAAAAAAAAAGAACCUAAGAACCUAUAGAGUGAAAUUGUAUUGAGUAAUUUGAGUGAAUAAGGCAUUGAAAGGGCAGAAGUGUGUGGACAUUCUUUAUUUCUCCCCUCGACUGCGUAUGUUGUAAUUUUGCCCCCUCAGGACACCUGAAAAGACCAAAGAAUGUUUGAGGCCUAAGGCCUGACUGUGAGAACCCAAGCAACCCCCUAGCAUCAGCCCAUCAGAGUGAGACAGAGAAGAUAUCUGGAAUGCCAGGCGACCCCCAGUGGUCUCAGUGAUUGAUAACAUGUUAGGAAACCGUGUAGCUUAGAAUGUACAUCUUUGCCACUCCUCACAGCUUAAACCAAUCAGUUUAAAUGUAUCCACCCCUUGUACUAGCCAAUCACACUUACCCGACAACUUGUUCCCGCCAAUGAGUGUGCUCAUCAAUGUUAAGAAUUGUUUGAUUUUCCCGCGGUAGGGAAUGAUUUGCUGUGUGAUAUUAGAGUAUCUCCAAAAACCUAUAAAAUCUCACUGAACAAAGGACCAGGACUCACUCCUCAGAACCGCUGCAUCAGAAACGGUUGUGAGUCCAGGCUCGAGUUGCAAUAAAGACUCUUGUAUGCUUGCAUCAGAUUCAGCCCCUGGAAGUCUUUCAGGGUCCCUAAAAUCCAGCAUUACACCAGCCCUAUUUAUUUAUUUAUUUUGGUACCGGGAUUGAACUCAGGGGCACUCGGCCACUGAGCCACAUCCCCAACCCUGUUUUGUAUUUUAUUUAGAGACAGGGUCUCACUGAGUUACUUAGCACCUCACUUUUGCUGAAGCUGGCUUUGAACUUGUGAUCCUCCUACCUCAGCCUCCUGAGCCACUGGGAUGACAGGCGUGGCCACCAUGCCCUGCCCUUUUUAUUCUUUUAUUUUGAGACCUGGCUAAAUUGCUGAAGCUGGCCUCGAACUUGAGAGCCUCCUCCUUCAGUCACUGUACCUGGCCUCUUUUUUCCUAAGAGGAGCUAAGCCCAGAGACAAGGGCUAAUGCCUGCCUAAGUCAGAGGCAAUGCAGGGACAGAAAGUUAGUGACUGGGCCUCAGGAAAGAGAAAACAAGAGGCAGACCCAGGACAGGCACUGCGGAGGGCCUCAGAGGUUCUUGAGGCGGAUCUGGUGUGAUGUGGGACAGAUGAGGCUGGACCCCCACAGGAUAAUCAGGAAGCAGGUUUAUUUACGCUGCAGCAGUCCACAGGGGAUGGUGCCUAAACCUCUGGACCUUGGGUCUGGAAAUCCUUUUAAAUUUAUGCCCAGUGGUGGGGCUUAUAUUCUAGUGGGUGGUGACAUGGCAGGUACCUUUUGUCCCAUAUUCUUAGGCUACACAGAGGCUUCACAAGUUUUUACCACGAACACAGAAUAGUAAUUUUGUACAGCAACACGCUCAAUGGCAGACCUAGGUUUUACAGGAAAGUGAAGCCUGGCCUAAGCUGCAAACCACUCGGAGCUGUCUGAAAACUCCUGUGAAACCCUGUUGACACUCUUUGUAAAAUCUUGCUGAUAAGAACCUUAAUUGUGUGGAAUGUCCCUGCAAAAGCUUAAUUAGGACUCUUUUUUUUUUAACAUCUUUAUUUAUUUUUAUUUUUUUUUAGAGAGAGAAUUUUUUAAUAUUUAUUUUUUAGUUUUCGGCGGACACAUCAUCUUUGUUUGUAUGUGGUGCUGAGGAUCGAACCUAGCACCCCGCGUAUGCCAGGCGAGCGCGCUACCACGUGAGCCACAUCCCCAGCCCAGGACUCUUUGAUGGAGAAGGGGCUCCUGGUAGCUGCAUCAGAAGGCACUAGAUUUCCACUGGAAGAAAAAGGUGAAUUCAGGGGCUGGGGAUAUAGCUCAGUGGGUAGAGUGCUUGCCUUACAUGCACAAGGCCCUGGGUUCAAUCCCAGGUGAAAAACCAGCCUCUACCUCAGAGCAAAGCCUGUCCAAGGAAGGGGGCAUGACCCUUGUCCUUGGAAAGACCCACAGAGCACUCCUAGGCACAUACCCACCCUGCUGAGUUGUUUGUCUGUAAAUAACAGGAGAGGUCUGCGGUGCCAGGUGUCCCUGACUCAGUCAGGCUAGGUGAGGACCCAUAGUAACUCCCUAGCAACCACCUCUCAGCAUGAGACAGGGAAAUACCUGGGACGCCAGAUGACCCUCCCAGUAGUUUAUGGUGGUUGAUAACGUGUUGGGAAACCAUGUAGUUCAGCACGUACACCCCUCUUGGCUUAAACCAAUCAGUUCAAAUGAAUCCCCCUCUUGUAGUAACCAAUCACCCCUACCCAACUUGUUCCUGCCAGUGAAUGUGCUACUCAUGUUUUAGAGUUGUUAUUUGAUUUUCCUGCGGUGUGUGAUGAUUUGCUAAGAGAUGCUAUGAUGUAUGUGAAGUCCCUGCCUUCCCCAAAGAGUGUAUAAAACUGCUGCAAACCCUGGGCUUGGGCCUCUCAGCGUCACCAGUUGCUGUGUGCACACGCGGAGGACCGAGCUAGCUCCCAAUAAAC